Molecule: long non-coding RNA, 5968 nt
Organism: Camelus dromedarius (Arabian camel)
Lineage: Eukaryota; Metazoa; Chordata; Mammalia; Artiodactyla; Camelidae
Exons: 2
Source: RefSeq, a predicted model, not a curated record
UUUUUUUUGGGGGGGGGUGGUAAUUAAGUUUAUUUAUUUAUUUUUACAGGAGGUACUGGGGAUUGAACCCAGGACCUCGUGCAUGCUAAGCCUGCACUCUGCCACUGAGCUAUACCCCUCCCCGACUCUUCGUCUUUACUGUACAAUUUGUGUUAGUUUUGCAGUAAAACAGGAAUCGAUUUUGCUCACCCAGUUUAUGUUGGAUCUUUGAUAAGAGGUGGAAUUCACUCAAGAAAUCUUGAGCCAAACAGUAGCCUGUGGUCGUCACAGCGUGCCUGGUGAGUGCCUAGUGAACCAUCCAGAUAGCCUCAUAGAUGGGACGGGAAAGGCCGCGAUCAGCUCAGUGAUGAUUCUAGAUGGGGCCUGGGCCUCCAUCCUGCUGUAAAGGUGUUUGUGCUGAGUGUCCUGAUAAUCCCCCGUGCUGACUUUGCACGGUACUUGGACAGUCAUUUCACUCGCCUGGCCCUCUGUUUUGAAGCUUGGAUUAUAGCCACCAAACUUACCGGCAUCUAAAUUCCUGCUAAAUCAAGCUGCAGAAUUAAAGUUAACCAGCCAGAACUGAGCAGUGAAGAGGCUUUCUUUUCUUUGCUGAAUUCCUUCCCUUUUACUCUCAGGGGGCUCUUUAAACAUGAGCUGCCUCACACAUUGUUAGCACACCUGUUAGGAGCGGUUUCUCUUUCUUCAAGCCUAUUUUCAUCUGGAUGAUAGGAAGUUUUUGCGCAAAGUGGGCACCAGAUCUUAGCUGAGAAAACUUGAUAGAACUGACUCUGAAAUGAUCUUUUAAGCUCGUGUGGCAUGGAUUAAAUUCAAGGGUACAAAUAAACAGCCAUGUCCAACUGGGUUUCUGAGAAGCACCUGCACACGCCCCCGUACACGUCAGUGCUCAGCGGGUUUCACGGGCGUUCCCACCUGUGACCCAACUGCAGUUCCCUCGCGUUAACGUGAGGUUUUCCUUCUCUUGAAGAAAACAAAAUACCUGCUAGGCUGUAGACACACAGCAGUUGGUUCUAGAGCUAAACUUUGAUUAGAGUUUCUUCAAUAAAAUUGUCAGUAAAUGUGAUCUCGUUGGAUGGAAACAAUUUGCAGGCUCAUGAUCAAUCUGAGGGGCACAGGGCAAGAUGCAAGUGUGAUGUUUGGGAAAAGUUUGUAACCAAGUUAAGCUGCCACAUUUCUGGGACGCAUCAAUGGGGGAAAAUCACAUGGAUUUGAAUCAAAUCAUUCAAUUUUGGUUUCAGCUAGAGCUUGUAAAGUUUUUUCUUUAUUGAAGUAUAGUCAAUGUUUCAGCUAGAGCUUAUAAAGUUUUUUCUUUAUUGAAGUAUAGUCAAUGUACAAUGUUAAUUUCUAGUGUACAGCAUUAAUUUAAACACGUGUAUAUUCCUUUUCGUAUUCUUUUUCAUUAUAGGCCAUUACAACAUAUUGAAUAUAGUUCCCUGUGCUGUACAGUAGGACCUGGUUAUUCAUUUUAUUUAUAGUGAUUAGUAUCUACAGAUCCUGAACUCCCAAUUUAUCCCUUCCCACUCCCUUUCCCCCCAGUAACCAUGUUUGUUUUCCAUGUCUGUGAGUCUCUCUCUGUUUUGUAAAUAAGUUCAUUUGUGGGCUCUUUUUUUUUUUUUUUUAAGAUUCCACAUAUAAGUGACAUCAUACAAUAUUUGUCUUUCUCUUUUUGGCUCACUUCACUUUGAAUGAUGAUCUACAGGUCCAUCUAUGUGGCUGCAAAUGGCCUUAUUCUUUUUUAUGGCUGAAUAGUAUUCACGUGUGUGUGUGUGUAUGUGUGUACAGCACAAUUUCUUUAUCCAGUCCUGGACACUUAAGCUGCUUCCAUGUCUUGGCUAUUGUAAAUAGUCCUGCUAUGAACACUGGGGUGCAGGUGUCUUUUUGAAUUACAGCUUAUUCCUGGCGUAUGCCCAGGAGUGGGACUGCUGGGUCACAGGGUAAGUCUAUUUUUAGUUCUCAUAAAGUUGUGAUACUCUCCAAUCAUCAGGCUUUUUCUGAGUCCCUAUCGUGUGCCAAAAAAUUCUUAGAGGGCAUUAGUGGCAGGGAGGUGUGGGGGACAGGGGCGAGUAAGACACCACCUGUGUUCCGGAUGCUUCCAGCCUGUUGGUUAAGGCAGGCAGGUUGAUGGAAUUGUCAGCACCUUGGGGAAGAGGGGCUGUGAGGUGGCAAAAGCGGUACCAGGUGGCUGGAGACACAGCCCUACCUGCCCUCACUCACUGCGUGCCGGGGGCUGUCCUGGGCCUUGGGUCUGUCACCUCACGGCAACUUUAUAGCGUUUGUUGCCUUAAUUUGUGGAGUGAGAAACAGGUUCAGUUUAAGUAACGUGUUCAAAUCAUACACGGGAGAGCAGGCCAGACUGCUCUGGCUCAUGAUUCCAGGUGGCUGCAGGGCUCUGAAGUGUUUGGGUUCCUUAACUGUUGUAUCCAUCAUUUGUAACUUGAAUCACAAGUAAUCUGUAAUUUGUGUAAGUACUGAAGUUAGUGAAUGGUUUAGUAUGUGUAUGUGUGUACGUGCACAGGCUCAGGGAACCCUGUGACGAUGAUUAGGUGAUGCUUUUCCAUGAGCUUUCUUUAGUGGGAGAAAGGAGCCGGCCGGUGCCCGACCCGGGCUUGGCCGGGGAAGGCCCUCUGUGCGAAUCGUCCUUGUUGCCACCACUGAUCUUCCCCCUCCCGUGCCCCCUUCCUUUCUGUCCCCAGGCCAGGGGUUACUGCACAGUGGCGACCACGGGCUCUGCUACCUAGGGAAGGAUUUAUGGCUGAGGAUGAUUAGUUCCCUGUAGCCAAAGACGCUUCAGAACACACAGUUGGACAAAGUUGGUUUUAUUGACCCAUCGAAUGAAGGGAGUCACAUGCCCUGGAGAGUCUCAGUGCGAGGGUGUUAGGAUUUAGAGGAUUUAGGCUUUUGUUUGGGGCUUGGAGGGAGGGCUCAAGGAAGUGGGGCUUUCUUCUGGAUUGGAUGUUGUCAGGAAGCAGGAGAACCCUGUGAUCAGGCACCUUGAUGUUCACGGAGAAGAACAGAGUGAGGCUAAAGGCUGGGAUCCAUAAAGAAGUGGUGGUCUCGGGGUCGGGGGGCACAUGGGUCCGCUUUAGGGUUUGGAUGAUAUUCGUGUUUUGUCUGUGUUUUAUGGAGACGUAAGUCAGGGAAUCAUCUGAUGUUUGCCAUCACAGUCGCAAAGUGGCCUUGUCUGAUGGUGUCCUGGGAAGUUGUCGGGGAUCCACAGGAGAACACAGCAGCCUCGCCGUGGGUGCCAGGCCAGCUCAGAGCAACCCAGGCCAGGCCAUCAGUUCCCACUGCCAGGGGCUGUGUGUCUCUCUCAGGGUGCGCUCACCCCAGGAUUAGAGGGCCUGGGUGUUCUGUGACCAAGUCUUCCCUUCUGUUUGAUUAACAGGCACUGAGCACUUCCUGUGUCCUGAGCGUGGGGUGGAGGGACAGGCCACAGACACCCCGUGCUGUGGCUCCAGCCUUCAGAGGCUUCUUCGGUGCCAUGACGGUGCCUCGGGCCUUCUCAAAUGCCUGACUUCGCUCACUUCCUGUCACACUUGGCGGCUGAUGCAGCCGGAUUUAGGGCUGUGCCAGCCUUCACUCUCUACUGCCCCAGCCGUCAGAGGAUGCUUGUGACCUGGGCUCAGUGCCUUUGCCUUUUUAGUAACCGGGCUGUAUUGCAGGACAGCAAAACACUGCAAUAUAGCCUCACAUUCAAAUGUGCCCGAAUUGAUUUCUACAGACAGACAUCUGUAAUGAUGCUCUGGGAGGGAUGGAGGUGUGGUGGUUAGCGUGGGCGGUGGGGUGGGUGGAGCUCAGAGGGGCAGGGAAAAGGAAGGUCUUCCCUGGAAAGGCCACCCCAGGGUUCUGUGGACAGUGCCUUCUGCAGACUGGGUGAAUCAAGUAAGUUCAGCAUUGAAACCCCAUUCUCUUGUUCGACCACUGAGAACAUCUCUGCUCAGCCGUGAGGUGGGAGAGGAGCCGCCUUUCCGGGGAUGGAAGCCCCAUUUGCCUGCAUCUCUGUCGGCCUCGGCCCCUGAAUGUCUCUGUGAUGACAGAGGGAGUGCCCAGGUUCAAGGGCAUUCCAGCCUGAGCUUCAAACGGAGUUGUGCUCAUCCUCAUUUAAUUUCAGAAGCUGUGGGUCUCCAGUCCCUGAUGAGUUCAGUUCAGAUCAGAACCCUGAUCCAAGUUUAGCUCUGCUUGGCCCCUGUUCCUGGGCCAGCCCUGCUGCCUUCUGUUUGUCUGCAGACCCGUGAGAAGCCAUCACAAGGUGGCAGCCCACAGGGAGCACAGGCGUGGUCGAGAACAGCGCUGCCCAGGGGGAAACUGAGCCGCAUUUGUAAUUGUGAAUGUCCUGGUAGCCGCACUACAGAGGUAAAAAAAACAACAACAAAAGCAAAAAACAAAAACAGACAAAAAACUAGGACAAAUAAAUUUUAAUAAGGUAUUUAACCCAACAAAUCUAUUUUUUUACCUGUAAUCAAUAUUUUACUUUUUUUGGUGCUAAUUCUUCAAAAUGCCGUGUAUAUUUAACUUCAGUACAUCUCAUUUUGGACUACUUUUUUUUAAGAUUGUAUUUUUUUUUUUUUUUUGGUGUAGGAGUUUUGCAUUAUUUUUAUUUAAAAAAAACUUAAUGGAGGUACUGGGGAUUGAACUCAGGACCUUGUGCACAUUCAGCACGCGCUCUACCACUGAGCUAUGCCCUCCCCGCCGCAAGAGCCACAUUUCCAGUGCUCAGUAGCCACACGUGGUGAGUGGUCACAGGACUGGGGGAUGCGGCUCUAGAAGUGAAUGGGGACUCUGGUGGUGUCCUUGUUCUGGCUUCUUAAAGGCCCCUUUGAUUUCCAGGAGCAAGCCUCGGUUCCCUUGUGGCCCUCGAUGUUUCUGAGAGCCCACAGAGAGCUGAGUCAAAGGGAAGGCUCCCCACUGGGGUCCCCUCAGUUGCCCCAGUUUGAACUGAGACUUUGGUGCCUCCAGCAGAUGACCUUUUUGGCCUUAUAUGUGACCUUCAUUCCAGAAAAGAGAGCACCUUUCAGCUUCUAAGUUAAAUGAUUAUUUUAGUUGAGAUGUACUGUUUUUUCUGAGAGAGGUAAGUAAGAUGGAGAGAGUAACCUUGAUUUGGAAUUCCGUUCUUCCGCUCACUACCUCUGGACAGGUUCACCUGUAAGCCUGGAUUUCCUCAGUGUAUAACAUGAGUAUAAAAAUGUACCUUUUAGGGUUAUUUUGAGGAUGAAAUGACUAGUUCAUGCUGAGUGUUGAGAGCAGUUUGUUGACACAGCACAUAAUAAAUGUUCCAUCCCUAUUAGACUGCUGUGGACUUGUUUUCUAGACUUCCUUGGGCCUCAGAAUUAAGAGCAUUGGGAUGUGCAAAACAGCUUGCUGAAAAUAAUCUGCGGGUGCAGUGGCUGGGGACACCAUGAACUGAGUCAUAGGUGCCUGGGGGUUCACUACUGUCUGCUUUUGGACGUGCGAUAUUUUCCAUAAUAAAAUUUUUCUUCAAAUGGCCUGCCAGCUUUUUGUUCUGAAAUUUGAUGAAAGAAAAAAAUUGUUAACAGUAAUUUUAGAUGCCCCUUUGAAGUGCCACAUAGGAUUGUUGAGGGAUGUGUGUGUGUGUGUGCGCGUGUGUGUGUGUGCAUGAGGGAAAGCCUCGAAGUGUAGGUGGUCAUUUAGCUGCAUCUUAAAAAUUUUUUUUUAAUUGAAAAAAUUUUUUCAGCUUUAUUGGGGUAUAAUUCACAUAUCAUACAAUCCCCCCUUUGAAAGCAUACAGUUCAGUGGUUUCUAGUAUAUUCACAGGGUUGUGCCUCUGUCACCACAAUUCUAGAACAUUUUCGUCAACCCGAAGAGAAACCCUUCGUCCAUUAGCAGCCACUCCCUGUUUCCCCCCAGUGCCUUCCCCACCCCGUUCCCCCCGUCCUAGGCAACCGUGAAUUUACUUUCUGUCUCUAUAGAUUCGCCUGUUCUGGACACUUCAAAUAAAUGGAAUCAUAGAGGA